RNAcentral lists this unclassified non-coding RNA (422 nucleotides) under Hevea brasiliensis (rubber tree). The record is from RNAcentral. Lineage: Eukaryota; Viridiplantae; Streptophyta; Magnoliopsida; Malpighiales; Euphorbiaceae.
ACUUUGUUGUUGUGAGAAAUCCCAAUUUUAGUAGAUAUGUAAGGUUCAAUAUCAUGCAGGCUAUUGUGCUCGAUGUGCUUCUUAUUUUUCCAGAUUUGCUGGAGAGGAGUUUUAAUCCUAGAGAUGGAUUGGGAUUGGAUUUGUUGAUGAGUUUGGACAGUACUGUAUUUCUUUACCUUUUGGUUUGUCUGAUUUAUGGAUCUAGUUCUUGUUUGCUGGGUCAGGUUCCUAGGUUGCCCAUUGUUGCAGAAGCUGCUGAUAGGCAGGUUCUUUAAAUUAAACACCCAAUUUGGGUUUUUGUUUAUUGCUGCUGUACUGCAUUUGUAAUUUAUUCUGCCAAAAGAAGAAAAUAAAUUUAUUAUAUUUGAGGAUAGGAAUUGGAGUAAUUUUAGUGAUAUCAUUUCUACACAUGCUUCACAACA